RNAcentral lists this ribosomal RNA (698 nucleotides) under Trogloraptor sp. CASENT. RNAcentral describes it as "partial 28S ribosomal RNA". The stretch from base 439 to 698 matches the Rfam family "Eukaryotic large subunit ribosomal RNA", at positions 665 to 874 of the family's 3401-position model. Lineage: Eukaryota; Metazoa; Arthropoda; Arachnida; Araneae; Trogloraptoridae. The record is from RNAcentral.
UCGGGACGGGCAGAGUCGCUCGRCGGUUGAUUUCCGACGGACCCUUAUCCAAGGCCGGGCCGUCAGCGACGUCUCUUUCCGGCCCGACGCAUUUCCUCCCGCACUGAGGACGCCGCAGCCGGUUGGGUAGCUGCGCGAGUCGGCCAUGAGGGCGAGCCGCGCAGGUGGCCGGGAGCGCGGUUUCGGCCGCGCCUCCGGUUGUUAGCUGGCACGCCCGUGGCGCGACACCCGACCGAGGUUGAUCGGUUCCCGUACGGGAACUAGCCGUCCCCUCCUAAAUGAAGCGGGCGCUCCGGCAGGCGUACGCCCGGCGUCGUCGCGUCACUCUUCGUAGUGGCCGACGCGUCGGGUUCGCCGCUGGUAGGACGCGUCCCGCGGGGGCUCCGGUGGCUAGCGGCGAGUAGGUCGGUCACCCACCCGACCCGUCUUGAAACACGGACCAAGGAGUCUAACACGCGCGCGAGUCACGGGGUCUUGAUUAGGCCCAGAGGCGCAAUGAAAGUGAAGGUCGACCUCGACGUCGGCUGAGUUGGGACUUCUUCUCCCCNNNNNNNNNNNNNNNNNNNNNNNNGGGAGGCACCAACGACCCGUCCUAUCCGAUUUAUCGGUUGGGCGGAGUCUGAGCGCGCGCGUUGGGACCCGAAAGAUGGUGAACUAUGCCUGGGCAGGACGAAGCCRGAGGAAACUCYGGUGGAGGU